This is a non-coding RNA of Leptonychotes weddellii (Weddell seal), 2544 nucleotides long. Lineage: Eukaryota; Metazoa; Chordata; Mammalia; Carnivora; Phocidae. The record is from RefSeq and is a predicted model, not a curated record.
ACCCGAGCUGAAGGCAGAUGCUUAACCGGCUGAGCCACCCAGGAGCCCCUGCUUUAUUUAUUUAUUUUUUUGUUCGUAAGAUUCUCUUAAAGCAGUAGGUCCCAACUCUGGCUGACAUUAGAUUUGCUGGAGAACUUUAAAAAAAAGAAAAAGAUGGCCUGCAGAGAUUCUGACUUAAUUGAGUAGGGAUGGAGCCCUGGCAUUGAUACUUUAAAAAACUCCCCAGUGUUAAGAAAUGAGUUUAGAGAGUUGAGAAGUAGGUGUAUCAAGUAACACAGAAUUUACUGAGUUUUGUUAGUCUAAUAAUAAAUAGAGUCAUAAUAGUCUCUAGUUGUUUUUCUUAAAUUUGCAUUUAACGUGGGAUUUGAUGCCACAGUCUAGUAAUAAGCUUUUUCAGGCAUUGAAAUUGCCUUGUAGAAAUUUAGAAGGUGUGGCUGUGAAUUGUUACUUAAAUUUAUAAGUUCUAAAGAAGCAUAUAAUGUCAUAUACUUGAUUGAAGUGUUGUGUUGUAGCAUGAAGGACAUUUAAAUAAAGCAAGGUCCUAAUCCAGAUGUUAAUUUUAUAUUUAACAUGUCCCCAUUUGUUUUGUAAGCCCCUUCCGCCAGUAAUUCUGGGAUAACAAGUCCCAAAGCUUCAAUAGUUGACUAAAUUUAUCUUAAGUAAUCUCAUGUCACAAUUGAAAGCAGAAGUCUGUUUCCAGCAUCUAUAUGAAUUUCAACAGAUUUAUGAAGCAGUGUGCUUAAUGUAAGUAGGUAUACACAAAUAGGAAAACAGUGGGCCUAAUUUUCUUAAAACUUGAAGUCAGUGCAUUGAUUCUUAGCAAAAGCUGUACGUGGUUGAGAAUCUGCCUGUAAUGCAGUGUUACUGAUGAAAGUACAUUGCGUGUGUAAAUCCUCUUGGCUCACCUGUCAAAGAUAUUUUCAGAGUCUGACCAGUUCUCAUCCCCUCUGCUGUUAAUAAUCUAGUUGACGCCACCAUGGGCUAUCACCUAGAAUAGCACUGCGUAACUCCUCCGUGCUUCCACACUUGCCCUACUGCACUCUGUUCUCAACACAGCAGUGUUACCCUUUUUGUAAGAGAAUGCUUUGUGUACCACUGUAUGAUAAGUUGUAAAGUCUCACAGAAAUGGGGUAUGAGAGCAAUCUAGCUGUGACAUGCAAUUUCCAGGCUGCCGUAGAAAGUUCUAUUAUGUAACCUCCAAAGGGGUGUGUGUGUGUGUGUGUGUGUGUGUGUGUGUGUGUGUAUUUGGGUUUUGCAGAAGAAAAAGAAUUUUCUUCUAAUAAGAGUGCAUAUAGCUGCACUUUUAAUAAAACUUCUGAAAUCCCAUUUCUAGAAAAAUUUAAUACGGUGAAGCAUUCAUUGAAAUGGAUGCUUUUCUAGAAAUACAUAAAAUUUUUAGAAAUUAUCGAAAAUGAAGCUGAUACCCUUAGUAUACUUACAAUCAAGAAACUUGGAUUAGUAAAAAAUUACCUCUGCAGAAGUUUCCACAAACUCAAUAUACAUUCUGCCAAAUUUCAAAGAUUAGGUAAUUUCUCUUUAAACUGUUUCAGAAUAUAGGAAAUGAAAAGACAAAAAAGGAGACCUCAUAACUCAUUGUUCAAAGUUCUAUCCCUGCUGCCCAAACCUGGAGAGAAUACUACCAAAAGCAAAAUAACAAAACCACUGGAACAUAUUCUCACAAAGUUAUAAAAUCCACUCUAAAAUAUUAGUAAAUCCGGCAAUAUAUUAAAAGAAUAAUGCAUUCUUGUGUACACAUGGAAGUUACAGAGGUUGAAAGAGAAAAGCUUACCUUGAAGAUGUAUUUAACACAAUCCACAAUAACUUUUUAAAUGUAGGUAAUGUAGAGAAGGAAACUAUUCACUCGAUGUCGUGUGUUUAGUAGAGAACCUUCAGAAUCAUGGUUUUGAAUGAGGAAAUAUUGGAGCACAGUAACAUCCUUCCAAGAUGCUGUAGGUUGGGUUGCAUAAAAAUGUGGAGCUGUGAGGUUAAUGCAGUAACUAGGGUGAAAUUCAGGGUGGGAAGCAGUUAUCAGUUGAAUGACACUGGAAUUCAUGUGAUUGUUUCUCUAUAUUCUCAUUAAGGUCUGCAACAAGUCAAGAAUGUCAGCUACACUUCAGUUCUACAACAGUGUUCUCUGGGGCUUAGCAAAUGAGAUACAGAUAUUGGGAAUGGAAGCAACAGAACAUUAUUUACAAGGCAUACUCCACUGACAGAGGUGUCACUGCACAUCUGUUGGAAAAAACAGAAGCAGUGCUACCCCAGCAGCAAUGAGCACACCUAGCACCCAGAUCUUUGUUCCUAAAUACCAUUCUCCAAUAAACGGAACCAGUGCUCCUUAAAGAAAUGGCUGAUUCGAGGCUUGGGCAGGGAAGAUAUGAGUACAGAACAUCACUAGGACCAGAAGAAGAGGACAAUAGGAGCCUGCACCUGGCCUCUCCAGACCCCUGCUAUGAAUCAUACACUGUGAUGUAUAUUCUGACUUUUGUGCUGUUGCUAUAGCAUGUCCUUUCCCUAUAAUAAACUGUACAUUUGUAAGCCAUGUCA